RNAcentral lists this transfer RNA (66 nucleotides) under Candidatus Zhuqueibacterota bacterium. RNAcentral's name for it is "candidate division KSB1 bacterium (marine metagenome) tRNA-Phe". The stretch from base 5 to 61 matches the Rfam family "tRNA", at positions 8 to 63 of the family's 71-position model. From Rfam's summary of the family: Transfer RNA (tRNA) molecules are approximately 80 nucleotides in length. The record is from RNAcentral. Lineage: Bacteria; Pseudomonadati.
GUAAUACUAUAGUGGUCUAUGUGCUUGACUGAAAAUCAAGAGAUGGUGGUUCGAUUCCACCCGCGA